UAAGUUAGUAGUGAAAGCGUCCGGCUCAACCGGAUAAACAUUACUAAAACUGCAAAGCUAGAGGACAAGAGAGGUCACUGGAAUUCCUUGUGUAGGAGUGAAAUCCGUAGAUAUAAGGAGGAACACCGAUGGCGUAGGCAGGUGACUGGCUUGUUCCUGACACUAAGGCACGAAAGCGUGGGUAGCAAACGGGAUUAGAUACCCCGGUAGUCCACGCCGUAAACGAUGGAUGCUA
RNAcentral lists this ribosomal RNA (235 nucleotides) under uncultured Candidatus Saccharibacteria bacterium. Its description in RNAcentral is "partial 16S ribosomal RNA". It matches the Rfam family "Bacterial small subunit ribosomal RNA", at positions 584 to 818 of the family's 1533-position model. The record is from RNAcentral. Lineage: Bacteria; Candidatus Saccharimonadota.